AAUUCUUCUUUUUGGCGAAGGCCCCUGGUCUUCAAGGGUGUUAUUUCGAGCUUAUCAUAAUAAUAACCAUCGUCGUUCGAUCGAGGUCGAACUCUUCUUUUUAGCGAAGGCCCCUGACCUUCAAGGAUGUUAUUUCGAACUUAUCAAAAUAGUAACCCGUCGUCGUUCGAUCGAGGUUGAACUCUUGUUUUUAGCUAAGGCCCCAGGCCUUAAUGCGUGUUAUUUCGAAUUUAUCGAAAUAGUAACCCGUUAUCGUUCGAUCGAGAUAGAACUCUUUUUUUUGCGAAGGCCCUUGGCCUUAAAGGGUGUUAUUUCGAACGUAUCGAAAUAGUAAUCCAUCUCCGUUCGAUCGAGGUCAAACACUUCUUAUUGGCGAAGGCCCCUGGCCUUCAAGGGUGUUAUUUCGAACUUAUCGCAAUAAUAACCAUCUUCAUUCGAUUGAGGUCAAACUCUUCUUUUUGGCUACCUUCAAGGGCGUUAUUUCGAACUUAUCGAAAUAUUAAGGCGUCGUCGUUCGAUCGAGAUCAAACUCUUCUUUUUGGCGAAGGCCCCUGGCCUUAAAGGGUUUAUUUCGAACUUAUCAAAAUAGUAACCCUUCGUUAUUCGAUCGAGGUCGAACUCUUCUUUUUGGCGAAGGCCCCUAGCCUUCAAGGGUGUUAUUUCGAACUUAUCGAAAGAGUAACCUGUCGUCGUUCGAUCGAGGUCGAACUCUUCUUUUUGGCGAAGGCCCCUGGACUUACAGGGUGUUAUUUCGAACUUAUCAAAAUAGUA
This 771-nucleotide long non-coding RNA is filed under the name Nicotiana tabacum (common tobacco). Its description in RNAcentral is "long non-coding RNA (NTAB_LNC000074)". The record is from RNAcentral. Lineage: Eukaryota; Viridiplantae; Streptophyta; Magnoliopsida; Solanales; Solanaceae.